Xenopus tropicalis (tropical clawed frog) is the source of this 805-nucleotide long non-coding RNA. RefSeq lists it as uncharacterized. The record is from RefSeq and is a predicted model, not a curated record. Lineage: Eukaryota; Metazoa; Chordata; Amphibia; Anura; Pipidae. The transcript is spliced from 3 exons.
ACUAGACUUGUCAUGGAUCCUUUUAAAACAAUGACCCUCUGGACCUUUUCCUACUGACUGGGCAAGGUCAUCUUCAAGAUUUUCAGAUUGGCCAUUCUGUGCAGCCGGUGGAGGUACUUUUUCUGUUUUCUCUCAUCUUUCCGCAAUUUUGAUGCCACAUUUCGAGCAAAUUCCCUCUGUUUUAGCUCCUUAAGCCUCUGUUGGGAAAGUUGGAAGAGUAAUAAGCAACAUGUAUGUGAAACAGUUUCAGACUUCCUCCCUGGACCUUCAUGCCCCUCUCCUCCCACACCGACAAGGAGCUUCUAAUCCCAGUCCCAGGUUCAACCCCACCUGCUUCACCUCACGCACUUCCUGACUUUCACUAAAAGUUUCUCCUUUCUUCCUUCAAAACGGCUCUCUCUCAGGCUAAAUAAUCCUACUCAUUACCAUGCGCAAUACCCACAGCAGCUUCUCUCUCUGUUCAGUUCACUGCUCAAACCCCAGACUGUGGCACAUUCACUUCCUGUUCUCUAACCCCAACAAUUUGCAAACAACUUCAAAUCUAAAGUCGACCUGAUCCACCAAAGCAUUAACCCCAUCUCCUCGUAUGACUUUCUCCCCAUCAGUAUGAAGCUUCCUAGAGCAUUCCUACCCAGUCACUGUAGGUAAAGUGUCAAAGCUGCUCUCCUCCCCAGCCAGCCUCCCCAGAUCUGUCCUGUUGUUCUGCACGCAUUUUAACUCCUCCAUUUCAAUUGGUAUAUUUCCAUUGACACCUAUACUUAAAAAGCCUUAAAGGGGAUCUGUCACCCUAAGAAAUAAUUCCAAU